This 305-nucleotide unclassified non-coding RNA is filed under the name plant metagenome. Its description in RNAcentral is "partial contains 5.8S ribosomal RNA, internal transcribed spacer 2, and large subunit ribosomal RNA". The stretch from base 1 to 105 matches the Rfam family "5.8S ribosomal RNA", at positions 50 to 154 of the family's 154-position model. The record is from RNAcentral.
GAAAUGCGAUAAGUAAUGUGAAUUGCAGAAUUCAAUGAAUCAUCGAAUCUUUGAACGCACAUUGCGCCCGCCAGUAUUCUGGCGGGCAUGCCUGUUCGAGCGUCAUUUCAACCAUCAAGCCCCCGGCUUGUGUUGGGGACCUGCGGCUGCCCGCAGGCCCUGAAAAACAGUGGCGGGCUCGCUGUCACACCGAGCGUAGUAGCAUACAUUCUCGCUCAGGGCGUGCUGCGGGUUCCGGCCGUUAAACGACCUUCAUAACCCAAGGUUGACCUCGGAUCAGGUAGGAAGACCCGCUGAACUUAAGC